GAGUAACACGUGAGUAAUCUGCCCCGAAGUCUGGGAUAGCCCAUGGAAACGUGGAUUAAUACCGGAUGUGGCUGUAUGAACUGCGGUUCUAACAGUUAAAGAUUCAUCGCUUCGGGAUGAGCUCGCGGUCCAUCAGCUUGUUGGUGAGGUAACGGCUCACCAAGGCGACGACGGAUAGCUGGUCUGAGAGGAUGACCAGUCACACUGGGACUGAGACACUGCCCAGACUCCUACGGGAGGCUGCAGUCGAGAAUCUUCCGCAAUGGGCGCAAGCCUGACGGAGCGAUGCUGCGUGCCGGACGAAGGCCUUCGGGUCGUAAACGGCUGUCACUCGGGACGAAUUUUGACGGUACCGAGAGAGGAAGCCACGGCUAACUACGUGCCAGCAGCCGCGGUAAUACGUAGGUGGCGAGCGUUAUUCGGAAUUAUUGGGCCUAGAGGGUUCGUAGGGGGUAAUGUAAGUCCGGUGUGAAAUCUCGAGGCUCAACCUCGAAACUGCAUUGGAAACUGCAUUACUUGAGUGUCAGAGAGGAAAGCGGAAUUCCUGGUGUAGCGGUGGAAUGCGUAGAUAUCAGGAAGAACACCGACGGCGAAGGCAGCUUUCUGGCUGGCAACUGACCCUGAUGAACGAAAGCUAGGGUAGCGAACAGGAUUAGAUACCCUGGUAGUCCUAGCUGUAAACGUUGUGCACUGGAUGUGGGCGGAUUUGGUCCCGUCUGUGUCUGAGCGAAGGCGUUAAGUGCACCGCCUGGGGACUACGGCCGCAAGGCUAAAACUCAAAGGAAUUGACGGGGGCCCGCACAAGCGGUGGAGCAUGUGGCUCAAUUCGAGGCAACGCGAAGAACCUUACCUGGGUUUGACAUAUACCUGACCGCCGGUGAGAGCCGGUUUCUCUUUGAGCAGGUAUACAGGUGCUGCAUGGCUGUCGACAGCUCGUGCUGUGAAGUGUUCGGUUAAGUCCGGCAAC
This 967-nucleotide ribosomal RNA is filed under the name uncultured organism. RNAcentral's name for it is "bacterial SSU rRNA". It matches the Rfam family "Bacterial small subunit ribosomal RNA", at positions 108 to 1093 of the family's 1533-position model. The record is from RNAcentral.